UAUCUCUGUAGAGUCUGCAUAUCAAUAAGCGGAGGAAAAGAAACUAACAAGGAUUCCCCUAGUAACGGCGAGUGAAGCGGGAAGAGCUCAAAUUUGGAAUCUUCAAGGUUUGACCUUGACGAAUUGUAGUUUAAAGAAGUGUUUUCGGUUAGAGGAGUGGUAAAAGUUCUUUGGAAUAGGACAUCAUAGAGGGUGAGAAUCCCGUAUUUGACCAUUCUUUCUAGCUUUGUGAUACACUUUCAAAGAGUCGGAUUGUUUGGGAAUGCAGUCCAAAAUGGGUGGUAAAUUUCAUCUAAAGCUAAAUAUUGGCGAGAGACCGAUAGCGAACAAGUACCGUGAGGGAAAGAUGAAAAGAACUUUGAAAAGAGAGUUAAACAGUACGUGAAAUUGUCCAAAAGAGAGGAAGCGUUUGACACCAGUGUUGUUUUCUCGAAAAUCAAUUAAAAGAGUGGAUUCAUGCUAGUUGUAUUGACCUUAUCAGCUUGCAAUUUAGUUUUGGGUUUCUUUUUGAUGCACUUUUCGGUUAACAAGUCAACAUCAAUUUCCUUUGCUGUAAAAAGGCAGGAGGAAGGUGGCUUCAAUUUCGGUUGAAGUGUUUAUAGCCUUCUGUCUCUGCAGUCGGGGAGAUUGAGGUCUGCAGCGUAGAUCCUUCGGGGCUAGAUACAUUCGUGCUAAGUUAUAACCGUUUAUAGACAACUUGUUGACUAUGAUUCGAUCCUUGUAGAUUUACUCGCUAGUGCUAAUUUUACCUACGCUUAGGAUGUUGAUCUACAGAGCGAGAGU
This 783-nucleotide ribosomal RNA is filed under the name uncultured Neocallimastigales. RNAcentral's name for it is "partial large subunit ribosomal RNA". It matches the Rfam family "Eukaryotic large subunit ribosomal RNA", at positions 24 to 635 of the family's 3401-position model. The record is from RNAcentral. Lineage: Eukaryota; Fungi; Neocallimastigomycota; Neocallimastigomycetes; Neocallimastigales.